AUGAUUCUGGUUGCGCUGCUACUGAUUUUAUUCGACAUAGAAGCUACAAAUAUCGACGAAGAACAACCUAAAUGCUCCACCUUCCAGAAUCUCACAAAGACACCUAAAUUCAUUGACAAAUCCCUGCUGAUCAGACAUAUCCUGGAUAGCCCCAGACACAUCUACAUAGCAGCUCCACCAGGUUUCGGUAAAUCAACCAACCUGCAGAUGCUCAAGGAGUUUUUCGCCUUGGAGGUGGACUCACGUGGAAAUUUCAUUGAUCCGAUGCAGGUUUUAAAAUCGGACGAGACCUUCCAAGACGCCCUGAAGAGAUGCGUGGGCGACCGUCAGAACACCUCGACAGGACGUGGAACCUUUGUAACCGACACCAAAGGUCAAUGUGCCUACGUGAACGUCACAAAACCUUUCAGCGUUUUAAGAACCCUCUGAAUAGCUACGAUACCUUCUCCAAGUUGCCACUAAAAAUACAUAUGGAAUCGCCGAAUCAUUUCGAGACUCAGUUCGCACGCUAUCCUGUUCUCUUGGUCGACUUCGGAGCUCUAUCUACGAAGUCCUUCCAAGAUUACGUACGUUCCUUUCAAAUACUUGUCUUGAAGCUCUUCGAGCAAUAUCAGUACUUGCUUAAGAGCAGCGCUCUAACUCAAGGUUCCAAGGACAAAUUUUUACUCUUCCAUGACCAAGAACAACACAAGAACUGAGCAUAGACGAGGUACGUAUAGCACUUUUAAGUAUAUUUGAAGUCUGUAUAAUGGCACAAGAGUUAAACAUGUGCUCUGAUCAUACAAAAUGCACUUAUCUGACCUCAUAAUUUAUUUGUAUUAAUCGUCAUGGGCCCAUUUUUAGCUGAAAAAUUGAUAAAAAAGAAUGCAGUCUUGACGUAAUUCUAAUUUUUUCGCGCAACCACUAGAAUUCUGUAAACAGACCAUCCACGGCAACAUAAUGGUCUCCCACACGCCAAAAAAUUGAAGAAAGUAAGUCAGCAACUCCUGUUCUUAAAAAUCAGCCAGCAUUGACAGUAAGAACAGAUGACAGACUCUGACUUACAGUGGUCACUUUGCCCGUGGAUAAGAUUAGGGUGGCAGAUUCCAUGCGCGGUUUGAAUGCGAUGCUAAUGUCAUGGCAAUGGCUCCACUAAUAUUCUGCGUGGGAGCGGUUUAUUUUUAAUGACACGAAAAGAGCAAACCAUAAAAAAUGAUUCUAAGCGUGGCUAAUUUAUUGAGAAUGAGAGCAAAAUCUACUUGGAGAGGUUAUUCAAAACUUGACCUUUGAGUUUGACACGACACCCCUGUUUACAGGUCAUUCUUGGGGGAGAGAAACUCGUUCUUCUGUUGUCAGCUCAUCAUGACCGAAAAUCGAUAGUUUUGGUGGACAACUUCGAUGUGCCCAUUCGUAAGGCUCUGCUGGCGCCACACCUGGACGAGGUAAUCUUUAAGAGGAUCAUGUGGAGUGCUUCUCAUUUUGUCGAGUUGCUCGUAGAAAGCAAGUUCGUCUUUCGGAUCGUGGUGACGGGUAAUCUUAGGAUUGACAUCACAAAUGGAUUAAAGUACCUUUCCAUUUUCGAUGAUGAACAUUUGUAUCGGUGAGCUUCUUUUUUAAUCGAAGAGCGUUUUGCUACUGAUUAAAACAAUACCUCUUAAACACUUCCCAAUUGGACGUAUUUCUAUCAAACGGAACUAUGUGCAUUAAGACAUGAGCCCUGAGACCCAUAAAAAUAUAUGCAUAACAUGAUUGAUUUUAUCAGGUUCUGAGAUAUCGCUAUCAAUUCACAAUGUAAUCGCUAUGUACUGUCAUAUUAUAUGGCUGUAUAAUCUGUAGUUGGAACAUCCUCCGAUUAGAUAUAGUCUGCGGAACAAAUUAAAAGAUUGAUCUAAAGAUAUCCUUAGUUUCGAAUCAGACAACAGCUUCAGAAAUUUGCUUUGUUUUUACAAAAACCU
This 1934-nucleotide long non-coding RNA is filed under the name Bemisia tabaci. RNAcentral's name for it is "lncRNA ENSSSA1NGG010691". Lineage: Eukaryota; Metazoa; Arthropoda; Insecta; Hemiptera; Aleyrodidae. The record is from RNAcentral.